This 657-nucleotide ribosomal RNA is filed under the name uncultured prokaryote. RNAcentral describes it as "bacterial SSU rRNA". It matches the Rfam family "Bacterial small subunit ribosomal RNA", at positions 28 to 703 of the family's 1533-position model. The record is from RNAcentral.
GAUGAACGCUGACAGAAUGCUUAACACAUGCAAGUCGAUUCGAUUUACCUUCGGGUAUUGAGGAUGGCGGACGGGUGAGUAACGCGUAAGGAACUUGCCUCUUGGUCUGGGACAACUGUUGGAAACGACAGCUAAUACCAGAUAUUAUGAGAUUCUCGCAUGAGAAACUUAUGAAAGCUAUAUGCGCCAAGAGAGAGCCUUGCGUUCCAUUAGCUAGUUGGUGGGGUAACGGCCCACCAAGGCGACGAUGGAUAGCCGGCCUGAGAGGGUGAACGGCCACAAGGGGACUGAGACACGGCCCUUACUCCUACGGGAGGCAGCAGUGGGGAGUAUUGGACAAUGGGCCACAAGCCUGAUCCAGCAAUUCUGUGUGCACGAUGAAGGUCUUCGGAUUGUAAAGUGCUUUCAGUUGGGAAGAAGAAAGUGACGGUACCAACAGAAGAAGCGACGGCUAAAUACGUGCCAGCAGCCGCGGUAAUACGUAUGUCGCAAGCGUUAUCCGGAUUUAUUGGGCGUAAAGCGCGUCUAGGCGGAAAAAUAAGUCUGAUGUUAAAAUGCGGGGCUCAACUCCGUAUUGCGUUGGAAACUGUUUUUCUAGAGUACUGGAGAGGUGGGCGGAACUACAAGUGUAGAGGUGAAAUUCGUANAUAUUUGUAG